GUGAAUCAUCGAAUUUUUGAACGCAAAUUGCACUCUCUUCUGAUAGUAUGCCUGUUUGAGUUUCAGCCUAAAAAAAAUCGACAUAGUCGCUGUUUCGCGGUGACAUUCGUCGGAAGUUGGGUCAUCUUAAACCUUUGUGGUUUAAUCGGCUUAAAAUUUUCUUUACGAUUCCACUAACGUUUCUCAGAUUUACUUCUUGCGCGUUUAAGGUAAUCGAUCUUUAUUGGACGUG
This 232-nucleotide unclassified non-coding RNA is filed under the name Glomus sp. RNAcentral's name for it is "partial contains 5.8S ribosomal RNA and internal transcribed spacer 2". The stretch from base 1 to 65 matches the Rfam family "5.8S ribosomal RNA", at positions 84 to 154 of the family's 154-position model. The record is from RNAcentral. Lineage: Eukaryota; Fungi; Glomeromycota; Glomeromycetes; Glomerales; Glomeraceae.